UUACAUACAAGAUGAUCUAACAAAAGUUUUUAUUGAAGGGAUUGCUAUGAGGUUGCAAUGACUUAAGACAUUUAAAAUACUUACAACAGAGUCUGGCACACAGCAAGAACCUUCUCAAUGUUAUAUAUAACAAUAAUGAUACUAAUCACUUUCUUCUCUGAAGGAGAGAUUGAGGUUCUGAGAAGUUGAGUUUUUGAUCAGGGUCAUGUAAUUAGUCAUGUUAAAAGCUCAAAGUUAGACUCUUACUCCAAAUUCUCUGCUUUUCUAGAAACAUUGCAUAUUGCUCCAGUCAUUGUUUGUGGAGACAUUGAGACAGAAUAUGAAUAUAAAAAGUGGAAGAAUGUGUAUGUAUAAAAUCAAGCUGGAAACAUCCAUUGGGAGAAGAGUCUUCAGGGUGGAAUUGCAGAGCAGACUUUAAAUCCAAAACAGCACUCUCCUGAUCACAAGCAGGAUAUUCAAGAA
Molecule: long non-coding RNA, 462 nt
Filed under: Bos indicus x Bos taurus (hybrid cattle)
Lineage: Eukaryota; Metazoa; Chordata; Mammalia; Artiodactyla; Bovidae
Description: lncRNA (ENSBIXG00005010522.1)
Source: RNAcentral